Molecule: long non-coding RNA, 7476 nt
Organism: Gambusia affinis (western mosquitofish)
Lineage: Eukaryota; Metazoa; Chordata; Actinopteri; Cyprinodontiformes; Poeciliidae
Exons: 3
Source: RefSeq, a predicted model, not a curated record
UCAUAGCACCAGGGAUCUUUUGGGUGCCUGGAACCAACAUGGAAAGAUAUGCACCUGCAUAGUAUCUAGCAGCCGAAAAUGUGAAAAUGGCUAAAAUUAAAAGCUCCAACCAGUCUUCAGAAGGCUGGACUAAAAGACAUUACAGAGGCAAAGAUCAUGGCAGCACAGGAACUGGGACGGGGCACAAGAGCAAUUAAAGUUAGAGAAUACCACAGUAGGCUGGACACAAGAUACAGGUUAUGCAAAUAAUCACUCUUAAACAGUAAACACAUAUCAGCUGGGCAUAACAUGUUUGCAGGAAAAGCAUGUAUGGCAUACAAAUGGAUGCAAAAGUGCACUUGUGUAUGAAUGUAAAACUCUUGACUAUUGAAACAACAGGACAGAAGGUUGUCAUUCUCAGUAUGUGCUGGAGAUCCAGCAGGCAAAGUAGGAGACAUAACUACGUAGCUGAGAAUGUCAGUGCUAUAAUCCUGUGGGACUACCUGGUUGGAAACCCAACUGGAUAUUUUUUGGUAGUUUGAAUCAGAGAAGAGGUACUGGUAGGGUGUUUUAUCUAGUCUACUGGAUUGUAGCUGACAGCAGUGGGGUUGGGAUAAUGCACCGGCAUUGUUCUGUUCUUUACUCAUUUUUAUAAAAAGAACUUGAGAAUUUCUUCUUAACAUUCCUCUUCCGAGGUUUAGCGUACAGUAGUUUGUCAUUUAAGCAGGGUCAGGCCUCAACCACUGAUAUCAUUUGGCAAGAGUCUAAAGUAAACCCCAGUCGAAAUCUAUGACUUUGUCCUUCUCUGUUCAACUUUCAUGAUUAACUGCAAUAGCUUUUCGUUGUCAGAUUUGCAAUUGUCAAGAGAUUUGUUUAAUUUAUCCAAGAAGGUAUGUAUGACAUCACAUACACACGAAUCAGUAUAAAUACUUUUCUUUUUAUCCGUUUCUCCCUAGCUGCCUUAAUUAUGACUUGCUUUGGAGAUGUAAGCCAGCUGUGUUUAUUGAUCACACAUUUAAUUGUCUUCUUUUUGUUCGUGACGCUCCAUCUCCAGUCUCUGACAUGUUGUUGGAGCUCCUAAUCCUAACGGUUACGUUUCAAGGUUGAACAAAGCGAAGCGAAGUGAAGCAGACAACAAAGCAAAAUCAAAAUGUGUAGUCACAGUGAAAGGACUUAAAAUAGAAACGAGCGCGGCAAAAACGUGCAGCCUUCUAAAGGUAUUUCUGCUGUUGUAAAUGUAAACUGCAGCACAGAGCAAUAAGAUGGUCACACUUAUUUUACUUUAAUAGACAACCUCACAUUUUCUUAUUUUCUGUGCUCGUUUCUUUACAUAAACAUUUUUGACCCAUUUUUUUCCUAGAAUACAUCCCUUUGCAUUUAUUUAAGCAUUUUCUCCACAAAUAUUUGUUAUAUUUCACAUUUGACUACAAACGUCAAAGAAUAUGUUUUUAAAAAAUUCAAUAAAUACACAAUAGAUACCUUACCUAAACUUAAAUUUUGCCCUGAUUUAUUUAUUUUAUUUAUUUUUUGGUAAAUAGAAAAAAAAAAGUAAUUUAAAGUGAAAGCUUUCCCUUGAAGAAUAAGCCACCAAUAAAGUUAUGGCUGGCAUUAACUGUUGGUACCGGUUUUCUUUUUCACAGAAAGUGACACCAGAGGGUAGGCAUUUAUCGUAUCGUUUAUCGGGAUAAAUCUCUUAUCAUGAUAAGAAAUUUGAUUCAUUAUCACAAUAAAUUCCAAUGAGUUAUGUUGAAACUCACCAAAGCUGUGAGAUAAAAAAUAGAAUAGUUUUACUAUUUUCUCCAUAGUUUGUUCAAUUAAAGCAUAAAUAAAUAUCAAUAAAUUUGAAAAUAGAGUUGCCGUUUGUAGUUUGGUGGUACAAUUACCACAUUUCUUUACAUGACUGGUGUUCUAAAGAUACAAAUUUGUUACAUUACUCAAGACCAUUGACUGUGUUUACGGGACUAUAAUUGCUGUGACACACAGCAAUAAUACAUAUCUUUUAUUACACCUAAAAGAGAUGUAAAAAAAUUUUCUUAUCGUCACUUUUAUUGUUAUAACAAUGGUAACUGCAAAAUAUCGUAAUAAAACUUAAAGUCCAUAUUGCAGAGCCCAGUGAUUUCUUCCUAAAGGGAAUUGUUUCAUUCCACUUCUACUGCAUCCCUAAAGCAAUACGACGUCCUCUGCUUUCUCAGAAUAAGGGAUUGCUGCAAAGUCUGUAGCCUCUAUCACAAAACACACAAGUCAAGACUUAGACACUUCUGUACAGAUCUACACAAUUUAUAUAAGGAAAGAAGGAGAGUUAAGCAAACCAGUCCAAGUUGAACCUCGAGGUAGGGCCGCCUUAAAAACGGCUGGUGUUUCUAAGCCACACUUUGCCUUUCUACUAGAGGGUUUGUGUGAGCCAAGAGGACGAGGGAUGCAACAUACACACCAUUUCUCACCAUUUUACACAUAUUGUAAGAAUUGCACAAGAGCAGACAUAAAGCCUCUGGAUUUUAGCCAAUCCUUGGUGACGGUGACCCUUGAAAACAGAACAGAAUCAACAAGGCCUCAUACGCCAGAGAUGCGUUUUACCGUUCAGCUUUGUAGAUGCACAGCUCUUGUUUCAUGAGUAACAUUCUGUAUCGACCCUGCUGAGAUCCACUCCCAGCAUCAGUUGGUUCUGCAGUACCGGCUUGGUUUACCAACGCUCGCAUGUCUGCAGUGAUUUACGAGCGGCUUGGUGAGGGGCUCUUUUUUUAAGCUUUACGGGGAACUGUUCGGGGGAAAUCUGUCACAUUGGACAACUUUCUGCCACUCAUACAUUUUGAAUUUGAAUGUUAAUCUGAGAACAUUUUUCACUUACUCAAAUGAUUUCCACUGCUUUCCAGUACUAAGAAACAAACGUGCUUCAAAUUGCAUACUGUAUAACACGACUGUACAACUUCCAGUCACAGAGGAAUCACCAAAGAACAGCCUCAGUUGUUUACUUUGAAAGACCAGGUAACCACAAAAGACUUUGUGUUCUCGUAGGGAAUGUACAUAUGAAUAUAUACAUUCAUACACUGUCCACUCACUGAGUUUGAGCGGACAGCGGCUGCAUAUGGAUGGGAUCUGUUUGUACAGCGGGGCAGUGAGUUGAUAUGGGGUUACGCUUUGGCUCUCUAUGAAUGAACUGAACUGAACUGAACUCUGAAACCUCUAUUUAGGAAUCCUAAAUACAUCUGUAAUGUCAGCUGCAUCUUUGGCGACGUGUCAGCGUGUGAGCAUCACGUCAGACUCCAGGGGACGUCGCCCCCAGCAGAAGAUUUAUGAACACGAUGUCUGUGAACUGGGGGCAUUUUUAGACCUCUGUCUUCUCACGGCGUCUCAUUUCUCAAACCUGACAGCGACAAAGGAGGAGAGGAGACGAGAGGAGGGGAGACAAUUUGGAUCUCGUCCCACACUGAAACAAUGUUUUGCCCGAAAUUGCAGAUAAUGCUGCCGCCGCUGCUGCUGAAGGUAAUGAUAAUGAUGAUGAUGAUGAGGGAGAUGGGCUUAGUGGUGAUGGUAGACGAAGAGGAGGAGGUGGUUAUGAACACCGAGUCAAGGACACAGAGAGGAAUUAAAAAUAUAACGAUGAGGCCAAAUUUGAUAUUGACGAUGCUGAGGAGUUGAAAAAUUCACACCAGGGUUCAAAUUUGUUUAAUGGAUGUUUUGCGAACAGGGCAUUUUUGUAUGUUCCCAAAACUACACUUUUAUCAGCUAAAGUUUUUUGUUUUUAUGGGUGUUUUUAGGUUGUAAAUAACCAGAGUGCAUCACUGUACCACAGCAAUGAUAUCAUUGCCCCAAUUCUGACAAAGCCAUUGACCUUAAACAUGUCAGACAUGAUGGAUAAGCUCUAGAUAAACGCUCACAGGGACUUUGGUUUUGGUCCGUUUCAGUAGCUACGCUUCCAAAUGCGAAAACUAGAAUUCCGAAAAUAAAUUUGCUUAGUAGAAACAUGCCAGUUUUGGAGAAAAGAAUACGUUUUUUCAAUAAAGCGUUUUUGCGUUAGUUUAAGGUUUUUUCUUUCUUUUGUUUUAUUUUAUUUUUUUUAUUUUUUGGGGGGGGGGAGGGGGGUGGAGUGGCCUGUAUUGAAAUUGGUGUAUUUGGUAAUACUGCAAUGGAAACACUUUUUUUGCUUCGAGUCAUGUGAUCAACAACCGAACGUUACCACUGGUGGAAAUGACGGAGAAGACGACGGGAAGUAGUUUGAGGGUUAUGGCGCAGCAUGAGUUUUAAUGACAUAUUGCACAUUCCUGUGAUUUUAGUUACAAAUUUUCUUUUCCUACAUUAGUGCAAUAUCUGCAAAGUUUUGUAAUGCAGAUGUUGACUACAUUCAAUAAUCAAAAGUACUAUAAAUUUUGUUGGGUUUUUUUGUGGGGGGGUGGGGGGUUGCACAGAUGAAGAUAUUCCUAAAAGUGAUGUGAUGGUCAGAAGGGACAAAUACAAAACUCAUCUUGAAAAUACUUUUUCCGUGGACAAAGCCUAUGAACUCCAGACUUAAAGGGUGCCUAACUAUCAGUCAGUUGUAAUUUGCUUUGGUAAGAGAUAUUUGUCUCGAUAGAGGGAGAAAGACUCAAGUUUCAGACUUUGACUACUGACUUGACUUAGACUUCAUCUCUAAAUCCUCAAGCCUCAAUCACAGUCUUUACCUCGUGUAAUUCGAAACGAAAGCAGACUAGUAAAUAAGCCACAGACAUGAUGUCUGACAGGUGCAUCUUCUUUUUAUAAAGCCUGUCCUUCAGACUUGAAUGAAACAUUCUCUCACUUACUGACUAUGUGGCACCUUGCUUGUUAAGUUGCAAUUCAUAGCGUAACGUGGAACAAGCUUACUGUUUAAAACUUGACAAAGAAAUGUAAUCAAUGUUGCCACUUCACAACAAAUAUUGUCUCAGUGGACUUUACAAAAUAUUCUCAGGUUACGAAUAUUUAAGCUUAAUUCUGAAUACCACACUUUGUAGAAAAAUUCAAAGCAGUUGGAAACAGUGUUUGGUGUGUAGAUUUGUGAGCUAAAAGAUUAAAACAUAAUUGUUAAAUGUGGGUUUGGUAAAUUAGACCUUAGGACUGUGGGAGCAGAUCAAGUGGUAUGGACUUGGAGGGUAAAUUACUAUUCCCACAUCUCUCCAGUGGGUACCAUAGCGCAGGGGCUCACAGCUUCCCAAAUAUGGCGUUUAAAGAAAAUCACUUCUUUAAAGAGAAUCCGUUGAAAAACUGUCCAGUCACGGCAUUUCCUGUGAAGCCUGUUCAUACUCUGGCACACGUCCCGAAGAGCCUCCCGCUAUCCUCCCCUUCGCCCGCACCGGCGGAAUGAGUAACGCACGCAUCAAUCACAACGAGGAGCAUAAACGACGUCUUACAACUUGUGGUGUGACUCUGAGGCAGAAAUGAAAUCCCGAUCCCUCAGCGGCCGUACAGAUCUGCACCGGAUGCCCACCGGGUCGCUUCAGUCAAAUCGCAUCAGGCGACGAUGAACAUCGGUAAUAAUCGUCCAUGACUAAAAACCGUGUGUUUGGCCCCCGUGGGGGCCCGCCGGGAUAGGAGGUUGCGGGAGCGGGCAAAUGGAUAUUAGAGGGCGGGGGUUUGAGUGAGAAGGUGCGUUCCCGGCGGACAUUAUAGGUCGUCGGCCUUCAGUGCGACGUGAUCUUCAUCAGUCGGUGAAGAUGACAAGUAUUAAAAGCGGGGGGCUCCCAGAGCUGUGUGCGUCAGUGUGCAUUGGAGAGGCGAUAAAUCAAAUAACUCAGAAAAGCACUGGUGUAGAGCGCCAUCUCUCUACCUCACGUCUUCUGCUCUCUCUCUCUCUCUCUGUCUCUCUCACGUGCCCUCUCCCCCUCGUUUGAUUCAUCUUUCCUCCAUCUCCACGUCUUUUUAUGUUUCUAACUAGCAUUCAAUUAAGUUAGUCUUACAGGAGUAAAAGCAAACGAACAGAAAAUGGUUUCCAUAUAUUUAAUUUUUUUAAAUUUCUUUAACCAAAAUCGCUUUGAGGUGGAGAUUAAAAACUCAAAACACAUUCCCUCGCGCGCGGCAUACACAGUCGCGCACGCACGCGGUAUUAUUUAUUUUGUUUAUUUAUUUAUUUGACAGGCAUAGCUGACUGCCGCACACCCUAUCACUUUCACCAAUCCCGUUUCGCAGACCCCGCUGCUGAGAUGACAGUGAAUAGACGCCCACUACCCACACGCAUUCUCACACUCACACACACACCGCCAGCAGCAGCUGCCUCUCUGCGUGUGUGCGUGUACGGGUGUGUGUGCGUGUGUGUGCGUGUGUGUUUGCGUGUGCUUGGCACCCUGCACCUCCCUGCUCUGAGUGGAUCAGCGCGGAAGCUCCGGAUCCACCAACAUAUGGAUCCCAUCUAAAAGGUGCUCCUGAUCCCGCUCCCUGCUCAACAGCUGUCCGGUCCGCCACAGAGAACCUGCUGCACCGCUGCUGCUGUUAUACAUCACUCCAGAAUCCCAUCACCACGCCUUGCUCUCCUCCCGAUCAGCCUCUGGCUCUCUUGUUACUUUGAAUGUGGCGCAAGCAGCAACCAUCAACCAGCAACCAUCUGGGUCAGACGGUCCGAAGCAGCAACUCUGAGAUUCAGAGUAGACUCCCAGUUAUAAGCCCUGUUUUUUUCUUUCUUUCUUUCUUUUUUUCUUUCUUUGGAUUUUUGCAACCCCGACCAACGUGGCAACAUGCGUCUCAGGUGCGCGUCCCACAAGUGAAGCAGCCCUCCCAGCGAGCGUUCAGCUUCAACACACACACACGCACACGCACGCCAACUGAAGAUAUAUUAUACUUCUCUUACCGCACUAGGAGUCCCGCUCUGGUGAUGAAGGAGGAAGGAGGAAGAAGCAGCAGCAGCCCGAAGCUUUACGGUCCGUUCUGCAGCAGCAAAGACGGAGAAAGCGUCCAUCACGGUUUGGAUGGUGUCACGUCUGACAGCUUCGCCGGCUGAUUUGUCUCCGUCUGAGUCAAUGAAACGCAGACCUGAAGGAAUUCAAGCCCCACAGGUGUGGCAGAGGGAAAACUCCUAAAGCCUGCAGGACAACGGGCCCCAAGGACCGGGGCUGAGAAACGCUGAACUAGACCAUCCUCUACCAGGUGAAACGUAUCAGUUGCGCUCCGUGAGGCAUUUCCUCACCAACAGAUUCACGAUUCUUGUCUUUCCAGGUCUGUUUUUUUUUUUUUCCCCUUUCGUUGCUCCGUUGGGGUUGUUGUUAUUCAGUACCACCUCUUUUUUAUUUUUUGCAGAUUUUGGGUGCAGCUCAGUCUCUUAGUCGAGCUGCAUUUCAUUUACUUGAUUUCAAAUUGUUGACGGUUGUUUCGCUUCUCGAAGCAGCAGAGAAAGUGGAGUUUUUCCACACAGCAUCACCUGCCAAUUAAAGAUUCAGCUGCAGACGUGAGGUUCUCACUUUACCGCCCUCCAAACUUAUGUAGGCACAUGUACAUCCAGGAGAAGAUGGGGGCGGGUGCCACACACACACUUAAUACCUGAGAUAUUUACACACACUC